Molecule: transfer RNA, 76 nt
Filed under: Microthrixaceae bacterium
Lineage: Bacteria; Bacillati; Actinomycetota; Acidimicrobiia; Acidimicrobiales; Microthrixaceae
Description: tRNA-Pro
Rfam family: tRNA
About the family: Transfer RNA (tRNA) molecules are approximately 80 nucleotides in length. Their secondary structure includes four short double-helical elements and three loops (D, anti-codon, and T loops). Further hydrogen bonds mediate the characteristic L-shaped molecular structure. tRNAs have two regions of fundamental functional importance: the anti-codon, which is responsible for specific mRNA codon recognition, and the 3' end, to which the tRNAs corresponding amino acid is attached (by aminoacyl-tRNA synthetases). tRNAs cope with the degeneracy of the genetic code in two manners: having more than one tRNA (with a specific anti-codon) for a particular amino acid; and 'wobble' base-pairing, i.e. permitting non-standard base-pairing at the 3rd anti-codon position.
Source: RNAcentral
CGGGUGGUGGCGCAGUUUGGCAGCGCGCCUCGUUCGGGACGAGGAGGUCGGGAGUUCAAUCUCCCCCACCCGACCA